UCGAGCGGACAGAUGGGAGCUUGCUCCCUGAUGUUAGCGGCGGACGGGUGAGUAACACGUGGGUAACCUGCCUGUAAGACUGGGAUAACUCCGGGAAACCGGGGCUAAUACCGGAUGGUUGUCUGAACCGCAUGGUUCAGACAUAAAAGGUGGCUUCGGCUACCACUUACAGAUGGACCCGCGGCGCAUUAGCUAGUUGGUGAGGUAACGGCUCACCAAGGCGACGAUGCGUAGCCGACCUGAGAGGGUGAUCGGCCACACUGGGACUGAGACACGGCCCAGACUCCUACGGGAGGCAGCAGUAGGGAAUCUUCCGCAAUGGACGAAAGUCUGACGGAGCAACGCCGCGUGAGUGAUGAAGGUUUUCGGAUCGUAAAGCUCUGUUGUUAGGGAAGAACAAGUGCCGUUCAAAUAGGGCGGCACCUUGACGGUACCUAACCAGAAAGCCACGGCUAACUACGUGCCAGCAGCCGCGGUAAUACGUAGGUGGCAAGCGUUGUCCGGAAUUAUUGGGCGUAAAGGGCUCGCAGGCGGUUUCUUAAGUCUGAUGUGAAAGCCCCCGGCUCAACCGGGGAGGGUCAUUGGAAACUGGGGAACUUGAGUGCAGAAGAGGAGAGUGGAAUUCCACGUGUAGCGGUGAAAUGCGUAGAGAUGUGGAGGAACACCAGUGGCGAAGGCGACUCUCUGGUCUGUAACUGACGCUGAGGAGCGAAAGCGUGGGGAGCGAACAGGAUUAGAUACCCUGGUAGUCCACGCCGUAAACGAUGAGUGCUAAGUGUUAGGGGGUUUCCGCCCCUUAGUGCUGCAGCUAACGCAUUAAGCACUCCGCC
RNAcentral lists this ribosomal RNA (830 nucleotides) under Bacillus subtilis. RNAcentral's name for it is "bacterial SSU rRNA". It matches the Rfam family "Bacterial small subunit ribosomal RNA", at positions 62 to 873 of the family's 1533-position model. Lineage: Bacteria; Bacillati; Bacillota; Bacilli; Caryophanales; Bacillaceae. The record is from RNAcentral.